This 449-nucleotide ribosomal RNA is filed under the name uncultured microorganism. RNAcentral describes it as "bacterial SSU rRNA". It matches the Rfam family "Bacterial small subunit ribosomal RNA", at positions 9 to 466 of the family's 1533-position model. The record is from RNAcentral.
GAGUUUGAUCUUGGCUCAGGACGAACGCUGGCGGCGUGCCUAAUACAUGCAAGUCGAGCGAGGGUUUUCGGACCCUAGCGGCGGACGGGUGAGUAACACGUAGGCAACCUGCCUCUCAGACCGGGAUAACAUAGGGAAACUUAUGCUAAUACCGGAUAGGUUUUUGGAUUGCAUGAUCCGAAAAGAAAGAUGGCUUUUGGCUAUCACUGGGAGAUGGGCCUGCGGCGCAUUAGCUAGUUGGUGGGUAACGGCCUACAAGCGACGAUGCGUAGCGACCUGAGAGGGUGACCGGCCACACUGGGACUGAGACACGGCCCAGACUCCUACGGGAGGCAGCAGUAGGGAAUUUUCCACAAUGGACGAAGUCUGAUGGAGCAAGCCGCGUGAACGAUGAAGGUCUUCGGAUUGUAAAGUUCUGUUGUCAGGGACGAACACGUACCGUUCGAAUA